AGUGAGUGAGUAGUUCGCCGAGUUACUGGAGGGGAUUGUGAUUACUUUCCCAGCAAGCGUUGACUUGUGGGUUCCUCUAGUCGGGGGAAAACUCACAUUUUU
RNAcentral lists this non-coding RNA (102 nucleotides) under unclassified sequences. RNAcentral's name for it is "DUF3800-VII RNA". It matches the Rfam family "DUF3800-VII RNA". The record is from Rfam by way of RNAcentral.